AGUUGGUGGGGUAACGGCCCACCAAGCCGACGAUCAGUAGCCGACCUGAGAGGGUGACCGGCCACAUUGGGACUGAGACACGGCCCAAACUCCUACGGGAGGCAGCAGCGGGGAAUAUUGCACAAUGGGGGAAACCCUGAUGCAGCGACGCCGCGUGAGCGAAGAAGUAUUUCGGUAUGUAAAGCUCUAUCAGCAGGGAGGAAGAAAGUGACGGUACCUGACUAAGAAGCUCCGGCUAAAUAC
This 243-nucleotide ribosomal RNA is filed under the name uncultured bacterium. Its description in RNAcentral is "partial 16S ribosomal RNA". It matches the Rfam family "Bacterial small subunit ribosomal RNA", at positions 247 to 504 of the family's 1533-position model. The record is from RNAcentral.